GACGAACGCUGGCGGCGUGCUUAACACAUGCAAGUCGAGCGGAAAGGCCCUUCGGGGUACUCGAGCGGCGAACGGGUGAGUAACACGUGAGUAACCUGCACCAGACUUUGGGAUAACCCUCGGAAACGGGGGCUAAUACCGGAUACGACACAGCUUCGCAUGGGGUCUGUGUGGAAAGUUUUUCGGUUUGGGAUGGGCUCGCGGCCUAUCAGCUUGUUGGUGGGGUGAUGGCCUACCAAGGCGACGACGGGUAGCCGGCCUGAGAGGGCGACCGGCCACACUGGGACUGAGACACGGCCCAGACUCCUACGGGAGGCAGCAGUGGGGAAUAUUGCACAAUGGGCGGAAGCCUGAUGCAGCGACGCCGCGUGAGGGAUGACGGCCUUCGGAUUGUAAACCUCUUUCAGCAGGGACGAAGCGUAAGUGACGGUACCUGCAGAAGAAGCGCCGGCCAACUACGUG
Molecule: ribosomal RNA, 462 nt
Filed under: uncultured bacterium
Lineage: Bacteria
Description: partial 16S ribosomal RNA
Rfam family: Bacterial small subunit ribosomal RNA
Source: RNAcentral